GUUAUUUUCUGCCCCGGCUGCUGGUGGGGCUAGCCUGGCGCCAGCCCCCGGGACCUGGAGAGCUAGGGGCGGGGGGCUGGACAUUUGCCCCUUAACCCUCCACCCCCCCCAAUGCCCUAACGAUGCCAGGAGGCCGCCGCUGAAAACUCACUCAUUUCACUGUCAUGGCGUCUCCCGUUGAUAACCUUAUAUUUUCUCCACUGAUGAAUGAGACUUCUUAAAUAUUCCAGCUGACCACAGCGUGUCGGGAUGACUUGGAUGUUAAACUCGCAGACAUGUCAAUGGUAGUCAAUUGAUCCAUCACGUUGCGGAGGGCCACUGGGCUUAGAGAAGGCCAAAGCGGCUUGAUCCUCCUCAAAUCCAAAGCAAACAGGCACAACAUGGCCGCCCUGAUGCGCCGCAGCCUCGGGGCCUGAAAACAGGAGUUCCCCUGAGCAGCUAUCAAAAGCUUUGCUUCCCGCCAAGUGCAAAGGCCUCACGAUCCCCUGGAGUCUCAGAGGGCGAGGAAGACACGACCGGAGUCAACAACCUUCGUCUGUCCUUUUCAAGACCUUUACCCGCUCAGAGCAAAGCGUCUCAAUGAAUCCAGAACUUUCACUGUAAAUAUACAUAUUGAAGCCAUUACUCGAGGAGUUUGGAUGAGUCAAACGAUGAAGAAUGGCAUUACUCGAGCAGCAAAAAAGACAAGUCUUUCUUUUGAAGACGAUACUCCGUCUCCGGUUGUCGGUUGUGUUUUGCUUCCCUGAAAACAUGCACUUCAGAGAAGGGAGAAGCCCCGCAGAGAGACGGAGAGGAGGGGAGGAGACAAGGGGGCCAUGCAAAGAGAAGUAAGGUCUGUGAAUGACUCCAACAGCUGAAGGUCUCUGCAGAUGUGAGACUUUGUCGCUGUGGAUAAUGUCAGCGACUCGUAAACGCCUUCCCGAGACCGGGAAAUUGAAUCUAUAGUCACUCCCUCGCAUUCUCAGGGGUUCAUCCCUUGACCUUCACAACCCCAAGAAAGUCUUCAGAUAUCAACGCGCGCUGGGAAGGCCACCAGGAUGUUUGCGUCAUAACAGCGAAAUGUUAUUCAUAUUAAUUUCACGUCACGGCUUCAUCUUUUACUGCUGUCGUUAAUAGAAAUAUAUUUUUUAUUAAAAUUGACAUUGUAUCAGGUGGUCAUAUUGCU
Long non-coding RNA from Gasterosteus aculeatus aculeatus (three-spined stickleback), 1165 nucleotides. Lineage: Eukaryota; Metazoa; Chordata; Actinopteri; Perciformes; Gasterosteidae. The record is from Ensembl.